UACGGGGGGGGCAAGCGUUGUUCGGAAUUACUGGGCGUAAAGGGCUCGUAGGCGGCCAACUAAGUCAGACGUGAAAUCCCUCGGCUUAACCGGGGAACUGCAUCUGAUACUCGAUGGCUUGAGUUCGGGAGAGGGAUGCGGAAUUCCAGGUGUAGCGGUGAAAUGCGUAGAUAUCUGGAGGAACACCGGUGGCGAAGGCGGCAUCCUGGACCGACACUGACGCUGAGGAGCGAAAGCCAGGGGAGCAAACGGG
Molecule: ribosomal RNA, 253 nt
Filed under: uncultured bacterium
Lineage: Bacteria
Description: partial 16S ribosomal RNA
Rfam family: Bacterial small subunit ribosomal RNA
Source: RNAcentral